UACGAAGGGUGCAAGCGUUACUCGGAAUUACUGGGCGUAAAGCGUGCGUAGGUGGUUUGUUAAGUCUGUUGUGAAAGCCCCGGGCUCAACCUGGGAAUGGCAAUGGAUACUGGCAAGCUAGAGUGCGGUAGAGGGUAGUGGAAUUCCCGGUGUAGCGGUGAAAUGCGUAGAUAUCGGAAGGAACACCAGUGGCGAAAGCGGCUUCCUGGUCCAGCACCGACGUUCAGGCACGAAAGCGUGGGGAGCAAACA
RNAcentral lists this ribosomal RNA (251 nucleotides) under uncultured bacterium. RNAcentral describes it as "partial 16S ribosomal RNA". It matches the Rfam family "Bacterial small subunit ribosomal RNA", at positions 524 to 774 of the family's 1533-position model. The record is from RNAcentral.